Molecule: non-coding RNA, 105 nt
Organism: Acanthosepion pharaonis
Lineage: Eukaryota; Metazoa; Mollusca; Cephalopoda; Sepiida; Sepiidae
Source: the annotation of a GenBank genome assembly
UUACGGCCAUAUCAUUUUGGUGCCUGAACGAUCAUCGAAGUUAAGCAACGUCGAGCCUAGUCAGUACCUAGUUGGGUGACCACCUGGAAAUACCAGGUGAUGUAA